RNAcentral lists this ribosomal RNA (253 nucleotides) under uncultured bacterium. RNAcentral describes it as "partial 16S ribosomal RNA". It matches the Rfam family "Bacterial small subunit ribosomal RNA", at positions 524 to 776 of the family's 1533-position model. The record is from RNAcentral.
UACGGGGGGGGCAAGCGUUGUUCGGAAUUACUGGGCGUAAAGGGCUCGUAGGCGGCCAACUAAGUCGGAUGUGAAAUCCCCAGGCUUAACCUGGGAACUGCAUCCGAUACUGGAUGGCUUGAAUUCGGGAGAGGGAUGCAGAAUUCCAGGUGUAGCGGUGGAAUGCGUAGAUAUCGGGAAGAACACCGGUGGCGAAGGCGGCUCGCUGGGCCGUUGCUGACGCUGAGGCGCGAAAGCGUGGGGAGCAAACAGG